AUUUGAAAUGAUAAUGAAUGAAUGAAUAUGUGUUUAAAAGAGUCUUGUAUUCAUUUGAAAAAAAAUCUAAGAUGAUGGUGGAGACAAAAUGAAGAAAUGGUAGAGACCUAAAAGAGAUGAUUUGGAAGGAUAUAUGAUGUGACCAAAUAGAGAAUAUGAUGGGGCAAAUUUUGAAAAGUGGUAUAACCAAGUGAUGAGUACAAUGAUGAAUUGGUCGAUAUGAUUUGCAAGUUAUGAUUGAAUGAUGAGAACAAUCAGU
RNAcentral lists this long non-coding RNA (259 nucleotides) under Durio zibethinus. RNAcentral's name for it is "long non-coding RNA (DZIB_LNC000341)". Lineage: Eukaryota; Viridiplantae; Streptophyta; Magnoliopsida; Malvales; Malvaceae. The record is from RNAcentral.